Non-coding RNA from Paramisgurnus dabryanus, 988 nucleotides. Lineage: Eukaryota; Metazoa; Chordata; Actinopteri; Cypriniformes; Cobitidae. The record is from RefSeq and is a predicted model, not a curated record.
UUUAAUAAACUUGCUGUGCGGAGAUAUGCGCUUAGACGCAACUAAAUAAGGAUUGUACUGUUUGGAAUCGCGCAUUAUAUAAGAAUACCAAAAAGCGCGUCGAGUUUCCUGACUCGCGUGUUUGUGUAUGUGUGUUCCAAUCGCGUGAACUGUUUGACGGAAGAACAAAGAAAACACUCGCAUCUGGAGAUACUGACACACAUACGCAAGGAAAUAAGGAUUUAUGUCAUGUUUGGUGCAAUCGGAUGGAACAACAAGGAAUGGAGAGACUGGAUUGUGGAUUGCAUAUCCAUUGACUGCAGGAGGCACGAGUCAUGCAUAUGGAUGUUUCUGCUCAUUCACUUCAAUGGCGCGGGGGUGUGGCGAUCCGAUCUCAUUACAGAUAAUGAGACAUUACUGCCUCUUGGAGAACAGCAAACCAUUCUCCAGACAGAGACAAAGACAUGGACAUCAAAACAGAAAAUGAAGUACUUGAUCUUGGAUUGUUUGGAGUGAACGCUGGAAAAUAAUGAAGCAGGAAAUGAAAAUGCUUGACUAAAACAAUUUUUAUACUUGGCUGUAAGAAGUCCUUUGUGUGCACAGACAUGACUGGAGAUUAAAGUUACUAAAUGUUGCUUUUUUCUAGCUGGUGACAUAACAUGGUAUUAUUUUCAAAUGUAUUUAUCUAAUACACAUUUGCACAUUUGUAAACAUUCAUUUUAUAUUGCAUUUUUUUAUAUUUAACCAGUUGUUGUAUAUAUUGCUUUCUGUUAUUACAUCUGUUUUUUUUCACCUGUUUAUUGUUUAAAACAAUUAAGUUUAUGUUUCUCUGUUAGCUUUUAUGUUACUUUGGCUAUUUCUUUGCUUUUAUUUGAUCCUUCUACUGUUAUUUGUUUAUUUGGCAGAACAUUUGACAUUUCAUUUAUUUUGCUGUUAUCUGAAAUUAUUCUUGUCAGCAUCAAUAAAACACUAUAUUUGCUUUAUAUCUGUGUUUUUCAAUUAUACAUUU